CAGUCGCCGCGGUAAUACGUAGGGUGCAAGCGUUAAUCGGAAUUACUGGGCGUAAAGCGUGCGCAGGCGGUUAUAUAAGACAGAUGUGAAAUCCCCGGGCUCAACCUGGGAACUGCAUUUGUGACUGUAUAGCUAGAGUACGGCAGAGGGGGAUGGAAUUCCGCGUGUAGCAGUGAAAUGCGUAGAUAUGCGGAGGAACACCGAUGGCGAAAGCAAUCCCCUGGGCCUGUACUGACGCUCAUGCACGAAAGCGUGGGGAGCAAACAGGAUUAGAUACCCGCGUAGUCCCUGUCUCUUAUAC
RNAcentral lists this ribosomal RNA (301 nucleotides) under uncultured bacterium. RNAcentral describes it as "partial 16S ribosomal RNA". It matches the Rfam family "Bacterial small subunit ribosomal RNA", at positions 509 to 807 of the family's 1533-position model. The record is from RNAcentral.